Molecule: ribosomal RNA, 595 nt
Filed under: uncultured fungus
Lineage: Eukaryota; Fungi
Description: eukaryotic LSU rRNA
Rfam family: Eukaryotic large subunit ribosomal RNA
Source: RNAcentral
ACCCGCUGAACUUAAGCAUAUCAAUAAGCGGAGGAAAAGAAACCAACAGGGAUUGCCCUAGUAACGGCGAGUGAAGCGGCAACAGCUCAAAUUUGAAAUCUGGCUUUCGGGCCCGAGUUGUAAUUUGUAGAGGAUACUUUUGAUGCGGUGCCUUCCGAGUUCCCUGGAACGGGACGCCAUAGAGGGUGAGAGCCCCGUCUGGUUGGAUGCCAAAUCUCUGUAAAGUUCCUUCGACGAGUCGAGUAGUUUGGGAAUGCUGCUCUAAAUGGGAGGUAUAUGUCUUCUAAAGCUAAAUAUUGGCCAGAGACCGAUAGCGCACAAGUAGAGUGAUCGAAAGAUGAAAAGCACUUUGAAAAGAGAGUUAAAAAGUACGUGAAAUUGUUGAAAGGGAAGCGUUUAUGACCAGACUUGGACUUGGUUAAUCAUCUGGGGUUCUCUCCAGUGCACUUUUCCAGUUCAGGCCAGCAUCAGUUUUCGCCGGGGGAUAAAGGCAGCGGGAAUGUGGCUCUCUUCGGGGAGUGUUAUAGCCCGCUGUGUAAUACCCUGGUGGGGACUGAGGUUCGCGCUUCUGCAAGGAUGCUGGCGUAAUGGUCAU